Gopherus flavomarginatus (Mexican gopher tortoise) is the source of this 3493-nucleotide long non-coding RNA. RefSeq lists it as uncharacterized. The record is from RefSeq and is a predicted model, not a curated record. The transcript is spliced from 3 exons. Lineage: Eukaryota; Metazoa; Chordata; Testudines; Testudinidae.
UAUGCUUUUGGCCUUCACAACAUCCUCUGGCAAUGAGUUUCACAGGUUGACUGUGUGUUGUGUGAAAAAAAUUUAAUCUAAUUAAUUUUGGUGACAUUUCUAAAUAUUUAAACUUUCUUAAAAAAAAAGUAACUUUGACUGUUGAACAAGGAACUGAGAACAGUGAAUAAGGAACUAGGAAUAAGGACCACAUUGCACCUUGGUGAAGAACACCUUUUUUGUUUCAUAAGGAGUAGGCUGGCUGGACAACCCCCUGAAAAUCCUGCAGAAGGAAUGGAAUAUCCUUUGAAAAAGAGUCCUCUGUGCUGGCCUCCAACCCCAUCUCAAGAAGACCUGCCAUGAGGAAACAUUUCUGAUAUUUUGAGAAUUUUCAAGAGACAGAAAAACCACGUCCUGCUACGCUCUACCUAUUCCUCUAUUUGAAUUCAAUGGAAUCUGUAGGUUCUUGUCACCAGAAGUAAGGGAAGUAGGGACAGAAAAGGAAGCAAAAAUAAAUAAGAUUGAAGAUCAGAAGAAGCUAGAACUAUACAAGUUGCAAAUUGCCCAGAAAUGCUGAACACUGGGCAUUGUGAAAGUCUCUGGUAACUAAGAAUCCUCUGAGCUGAGUGCAUCCCAGUUUCAGUGAACUGCAGAGGGGGUGUGGCCCAGCAGAAGAAAGCAGGAAAAUGACACUUCUGUCUGCUCGAACAAAGACCCAGGGUCUGAAUAACUUGAAUAAAAGCUGUAGGUUUACCUGAAAGCAGCUAACAGAAAUGUGCUUGUUUCUAACACUCAGAUGUCCAACUCCUAAUGGGGUCUAAACCCAAAUUUAUGAGUUUACUCUGUAUAAGCGCUCCACACCCCAACCUCCUGCCCCAACCCUGAGCCUCUUCCUGCAUCCUAACUCCUGGCCAGACCCUGCACCCCAGCCUGCUCCUGCAUCACAACUCCCUCCCAGACCCUGCAUCCCCAACCCUGACUCCUGCACCCCCUUACACACCUCCAGCCACCUGCCCUCCCUGACUCCUACACCCCCUCACACACUCCCAGCCUUGACUCUUGCACCCCUCUGACACUCCCCCAGCUCCCUGCACUCCCUGAUUCCUGCAACCCCCCAUGCUCUCUGCCUCCCCACACCUUCGUCCCCCUGUCCUCCCUGACUGCUGCACCCCCUGAUCCCCACUUGCACUCCUUGCACCAAAUGGGAGCUGCCCCAGGUAAAUACUCCACACCCCAACCCCUGCCCCAGCCCUGAGCUCCCUCCCACAUCCUAACUCCUGGCCAGACCCUGCGCCUCAAUCCCCAGCCUGCUCCCAAACCCUAACUUCCUCCCAGACCCUGCACCCUCAGCCCUGAGCCCCCUCCUGCACCCUAAGUCCUGGCCAGACCCUGCACCCCAACAUUUUUUUAAUAAAGCAAUCUUAUCCAAAGCACUUUACAAUAGUUAGCUAACGUUACAAACAAUAUUUGGAAAGAUCAUUAAGUGGUCCGCAGAGACCCUCAGUGAUUUUCAAGUGGUCUGUAGAAAAAUAAGUUAGACUACAAAAACAGUCAACGUACCUCACUUUAUUUUCAUUUACUUCCUAUUACUUAUAGGAGGAGGAUGAAGGAAAAAAAGAAUGAAAAACGGGCAGAGGGGGCAGAUAAAGGAGAAGGUUCUUUUUCUUGGCUGGGUUCCAAGCAGGGGUCCCAAAAAUGAAGCUGGGCACUGGGUCUCACUAAUUCUAAAUCUGCCACUGCUUGUUACCCUUUGAAAACCAUCCAUCAGCAGCAUUUCAUCAUAUAUUGGGAUAGUUCUGAAUUAAGUUCUAAUUUCCUGGGCCAAAUUUUGCUCUUGGUUCUGCAUAUGCAAUACUCACUAAAACCAGUGGGAAUUGUAAGCACAUAGCGAAAUGCAGAAUUUGGAUUCCUCCAUCUUGUUGAUUAUAAAUUCAACUAAACAUUUUCUGAAAGACACUCUCUUUUUAUAAAUCAUACUGUACUGUGAACUGAAUAAGACUGUAAUCAUUUACAGGUAAGAUAAGACUUGGCAACGAUGCACCUAAUUUUCUGUCUUUUUGCUGCAAUGGUACAAAGAUGAGGUUUAAGAAAUGUGGUAAAUAAUAGUCAAUAAGCAGUGUUAAUUUUAAUAAUAUAUUUUGCAAAAUAUUAGUUGAUUACCUUGUGUUCUAUGUGAUCUCAUUGCUUGUGUUUAUAGGACAACUGACAAACCAGGGCUAUUUGGCUUAGCCAAUGUUAAUCCAAUAAUUAGCUGUUUCUUCCUCCAGACCUUCAGGGCAAGAUUUGGCGGUGGUUAAAUAAUAUUCAUGGGAAUAUGAUAAUAGAUCACUGUGUGCACUCGUUUUACCUUCUCAACUCUAGAAAAAACUAAUCUUGGUGAGAGGACCAAUCACAUCAUGUUUGUCAAAACAAACAAAUGGGACAGAUUCGGCUCUUAGCUAUGCUGGUUUAAAUCCAAAGUAGUUCCCCUCAAGUCAUAUGACUCCAGAUUUACAUCAUUGUAACUGAGGAGCAGAAUUUGGUUUAUUGUGUAUUUUGCAGUGGCAGUUGUUUCCCUGGUCUUCCACUGAGUUAGUUUAUUAAAAACACCACGAAGAAUAUAGCUAAGGUUUAACCAACAAAUCAAAUAUAGAAGAAAUAAUGCAAUCUUCAUCAGUGCCAGCAAGAGGGUAAGAGCCAAAAGGAUGUUACUUAAUUGUAGCCAUAAAGAAGUCUAGGGGGGAGAGUGCAGAGUUUGCAGUCUCUUCUCAGCCACUCCAUUUUAAAAAGAAAAAAAAGGCCCGCAACCACAUGUAUGAAUUUGUGUGAAGAUAGCGGAUGUUCUACAGCAUCAGACAAAGCUGCCUCUGAUCUCAAAAAGAACAGCAAGGUUCUUAAUCCGGCCUGGACCCACUGAGUGAUACCAGUCACCUAUCCCGGAAGGAGGAUCAGACCCAGAUAAUUAGGAGAAUAAGAAUUGAACUCCCAGUGUGCCUGUAUGGAUGACCAGCAUGCAGGGAGAUCUAAGACAUAGUAUGUAUUUGCACCCCCGACUCUCACAUACUUAACUAGUAUUCGAAGCCAGAAUGCAUAUGCUUAGCUUCUAAAUUUAACUUCUAGCUUAAAAAAAACCCCAAAAAAUCCCACACACCACAUAGCAGGCCAAGUUGUGAUCGGUUACAAAAGGGUAAUUACAGAGCAACGCUAUUAACUUCAAUGAAGUUUCACUAGAUUUACUGCAGAGCAACAGAGAACACGGUUGGGCCCCAAGACAGAUUCUAAAAUGUAACCUGACACUCUACUUUCUGAAAACUCUGUUGCAGAGGAGAGACGCACACUGAAUCUCACGCAAUUAUUUUAAAAAGAUGACUAUGUGAUUAUCAAUUAUAGUAACUUUGGGCCUGAUUCUGAUCUCACACCAUUUUUUCAAUGGUAACACUACUGAGAUCAGAAUUAGGCCCUAUGGGUUUAGGAUUAAUAUUUUACUGCCAUAAAAGCCUUUAUAGAGUUAAAAGGCAAAGUCUGAGAGCUAGCU